Molecule: ribosomal RNA, 404 nt
Filed under: Verrucomicrobiota bacterium
Lineage: Bacteria; Pseudomonadati; Verrucomicrobiota
Description: Verrucomicrobia bacterium partial 16S ribosomal RNA
Rfam family: Bacterial small subunit ribosomal RNA
Source: RNAcentral
UGGGGAAUAUUGCACAAUGGGGGAAACCCUGAUGCAGCGACGCCGCGUGAGCGAUGAAGGCUUUCGAGUCGUAAAGCUCUGUCCUAUGGGAAGAUAAUGACGGUACCAUAGAAGAAAGCCCCGGCUAAUUACGUGCCAGCAGCCGCGGUAAUACGUAAGGGGCGAGCGUUGUCCGGAAUUAUUGGGCGUAAAGAGUGCGUAGGCGGCAAAUUAAGUCAGAUGUGAAAACUAAGGGCUCAACCCAUAGAUUGCAUCUGAAACUGAUAUGCUUGAGUCAAGGAGAAGAAAGUGGAAUUCCUAGUGUAGCGGUGGAAUGCGUAGAUAUUAGGAGGAAUACCGGAGGCGAAGGCGACUUUCUGGACUUGAACUGACGCUGAGGCACGAAAGCGUGGGGAGCAAACAGG